This 253-nucleotide ribosomal RNA is filed under the name uncultured bacterium. RNAcentral describes it as "partial 16S ribosomal RNA". It matches the Rfam family "Bacterial small subunit ribosomal RNA", at positions 524 to 776 of the family's 1533-position model. The record is from RNAcentral.
GACAGAGGGUGCAAACGUUGUUCGGAAUUACUGGGCGUAAAGCGUGUGUAGGCGGUCCACUAGGUCGGGUGUGAAAGCCCUGGGCUCAACCCAGGAAGUGCACUCGAAACUGGCGGGCUAGAGUAUCGGAGAGGUUGGUGGAAUUCUCGGUGUAGAGGUGAAAUUCGUAGAUAUCGAGAGGAACACCGGUGGCGAAGGCGGCCAACUGGACGAAUACUGACGCUGAGACACGAAAGCGUGGGGAGCAAACAGG